Procambarus clarkii (red swamp crayfish) is the source of this 462-nucleotide non-coding RNA. The record is from RefSeq and is a predicted model, not a curated record. NCBI's taxonomy places the organism in Eukaryota, Metazoa, Arthropoda, Malacostraca, Decapoda, Cambaridae.
GCCCCCCCCCCCCACAAUCCCACCCUCUGCCACCGCACAUUUUCCACCUUCUACUCCAGGUCUUGCACCUGCUACUCCAAAUCUAACUGGACUGGUACUUGAACAAAAAGGACAAGGAUAUGCAGAGACCAACGAGACGCACAACCAAACCAAGAAAGGCCCCUGAGGGGGCUGACCCCCAGCUAUGGCGCAGGUGCCUACUAGUGCCACUCCAGUGCCACCUUGAGGACCCAUAUUUCUGACCAAUUAUAUUAGGCGAUCUGCAUGGAACUUGCACACCUUACUGAACCCAUGCCUAUCUACAAGGGUGCAAAUUUUGAAUGAUAUUGGUCAACAUCAACCUCAGCUAAAGGUGGCUGAACUUUAACCUCCGUUUGUGCAGGCUGCGAUGCUGAAACUUGGCCCAGUUGCAGCACCUUUCACAUGUAUCAGGAUAAUAAAUUUUCAAUGCCCUACAACAAC